GGGAAAGUGGCUCAGGGGUAGAGUGCUUGCCUUGAAUGCAUGAGGCCCUGGGUUCGAUUCCUCAGCACCA
This 70-nucleotide transfer RNA is filed under the name Dipodomys ordii (Ord's kangaroo rat). It matches the Rfam family "tRNA". From Rfam's summary of the family: Transfer RNA (tRNA) molecules are approximately 80 nucleotides in length. Their secondary structure includes four short double-helical elements and three loops (D, anti-codon, and T loops). Lineage: Eukaryota; Metazoa; Chordata; Mammalia; Rodentia; Heteromyidae. The record is from Rfam by way of RNAcentral.